UGAUGUGGAAGCUUUGCUCUUCACAGUAAACCUUGCUAGUGCUCAGUUUGGGUCUGUGCCAUCUUUAACAGCUGUAACAGUCACAGAGAAGGUCUGUGGCUUUAUUCUUGAAGUCAGCGAGACCUUGAACCCACCAGUAGGAACCAACUCCGGACACAGUAUGGCAAUGAUCUCUGGUGAGAACAGCUGCCCAGUAGAAUGUAAGACUUGGCAGAGGAUGUGAUGGACCUGCAUCAUGGCAGGUGUCCUCUUCUAUGGGUCAUCCACUCAACUGUUUGAUCUGCAGGGCCGUAAGGUUAUUCUGGAUCCUGUCUUGCUAUUGUCCUAGGGCUCUGCAAAAAUGUCAGCCAGGUGUUGAAGUUCAGGUGAAAUAAUUCAAAACAACUCGAGAAUGGAACUACCGAUUCACUAAUAAAGAACAGAAAAUAAACAAGGGCAAAACUUGAGAACAUACAUACACAAAAACACAAAGACUCACUUAAUUUUUAUCUCAGAUAAAAAAGGAAAGUAGUUUGCUGAAUUUGCCUUUCUACUAAGAAGUCUUUGCUUUCACUUGGUUGGGAGGGUACCUAACAUGAAGAAGCAGGAAUUCCUGGAAAACAGGCCCCUUCUACCUUAACGUGUUUUCUGUGGGGUCGUUCAGUUAUUGUCCCUAAGCAGAGGUAACUGGGAAAUAGCCUUGGGCUGUAAUUUUCCCAUUUUACCUUAAGCAAUAUCAUAACUAGCAACGUGUGACACCCAGGAGGUUUGUUUUCUAGAUAACACUCUCUUUACAAUAUAAGGGCUCUUUGAGAGAGUUAAUAUAAUAAAUCCUCAGAGUAAACUCUAGGAUACUCUUUAGAAAUUAAAUAUUACUUGAAACAUAUGAAAGCCAUUCAGCAGGUGACAGAGCUAUUUACAAAUAGAUUAAACAUCUUUCAAGUAAAUUAUUAUAACAUUCAUUAAUGUUGUUAGUGUUUAUGCACUAAAACAUAGCCCAAAAUAAGAUAUUUUAUCCUCAUAUUGUAACACAAUUUAUGUUACACUUGAACAAAAAUCCCUCAAUGUGCAGCUGAUUUUAAAUCCAUCAUCAGUUCUACUAGUCAAAAGUGGAGAAUCUUUUUGCAUUUGUACCUCUGGUAGCCAAAGUAAUGUAUCUUCUCUCCAUGUUUCUUUCUCCAUUCAUUAAUAUGCUGUUUUCACAUUGCUUCGUUUUGAAAUUGCCCAUGGCCCAGCUGAACCAAGCAGAAAGAUUUCCCAGGCUGGUUGCAUUGUAUUUCACCUUCUGUUGUCAAUUCCUUUGGUCUCGUAAGAAUAAAAUCCUUUGGUCUCA
Gorilla gorilla gorilla (western lowland gorilla) is the source of this 1312-nucleotide long non-coding RNA. RefSeq lists it as uncharacterized. The record is from RefSeq and is a predicted model, not a curated record. Lineage: Eukaryota; Metazoa; Chordata; Mammalia; Primates; Hominidae. The transcript has 3 exons.